UCAGGAUGAACGCUAGCUACAGGCUUACACAUGCAAGUCGAGGGGCAGCAUGGUCUUAGCUUGCUAAGGCCGAUGGCGACCGGCGCACGGGUGAGUAACACGUAUCCAACCUGCCGUCUACUCUUGGACAGCCUUCUGAAAGGAAGAUUAAUACAAGAUGGCAUCAUGAGUCCGCAUGUUCACAUGAUUAAAGGUAUUCCGGUAGACGAUGGGGAUGCGUUCCAUUAGAUAGUAGGCGGGGUAACGGCCCACCUAGUCUUCGAUGGAUAGGGGUUCUGAGAGGAAGGUCCCCCACAUUGGAACUGAGACACGGUCCAAACUCCUACGGGAGGCAGCAGUGAGGAAUAUUGGUCAAUGGGCGAGAGCCUGAACCAGCCAAGUAGCGUGAAGGAUGACUGCCCUAUGGGUUGUAAACUUCUUUUAUAAAGGAAUAAAGUCGGGUAUGGAUACCCGUUUGCAUGUACUUUAUGAAUAAGGAUCGGCUAACUCCGUGCCAGCAGCCGCGGUAAUACGGAGGAUCCGAGCGUUAUCCGGAUUUAUUGGGUUUAAAGGGAGCGUAGAUGGAUGUUUAAGUCAGUUGUGAAAGUUUGCGGCUCAACCGUAAAAUUGCAGUUGAUACUGGAUAUCUUGAGUGCAGUUGAGGCAGGCGGAAUUCGUGGUGUAGCGGUGAAAUGCUUAGAUAUCACGAAGAACUCCGAUUGCGAAGGCAGCCUGCUAAGCUGCAACUGACAUUGAGGCUCGAAAGUGUGGGUAUCAACAGGAUAGA
RNAcentral lists this ribosomal RNA (766 nucleotides) under Bacteroides sp. ES-32. RNAcentral's name for it is "bacterial SSU rRNA". It matches the Rfam family "Bacterial small subunit ribosomal RNA", at positions 24 to 782 of the family's 1533-position model. Lineage: Bacteria; Pseudomonadati; Bacteroidota; Bacteroidia; Bacteroidales; Bacteroidaceae. The record is from RNAcentral.